UAAUAAUAAUAAUAAUAAUUUAAAUAUGUUUAUGAUAAUUUAAAAUAAUUAUUUAAUAAUUUAUUUUUAAGUGGAUUUGAUAUGUGUAAUUAAUGGAUUUUCUCUCCACCAUUACCAAUCCUGUUUUUUUAAAAUAAUAAGAAAAAAGAAAAAUAAUUUCGGAUGUAUAGAGAUGUGUAAUCUCAAGUGACCUCGAAGGAUGAGUGACAAACAAACCAUCUGACCGUCCACGUGGUCGAGAGCCACGUGUUUACUAGUGACCAAGCAGCAAUUCCCUAAAUAUCUGCCACGCAUAUGGCUUAACUUCACUGAUGCUGGGUCACACUUAAACCCAGUUCUUGAUUGCACAUGCAUGACUACGUGGCAGUCAUACAAUAAUUUUAAUGUGUCCCACCCACCCACAAGCAACAAAAUUUCCCUUGAUCACGGCCGCACGAUCAGACCCUGCCAAAAUAUGCGUAUUAUGAUUGUAGAAUCAUGCCCGUAGCUGAACUACUAAAAACAGCCUUUACCACAAAUAAUUGUAUUUGCGUCUGAAUAUCAAAUGAGUUUUUUUUUUAAUUAAUUUUGAUUAAAAUUAAAAUUUAAAAUUUUCUAAAAAAAAUUUUCAAUUUUUUUAGAUCGGAACCUCUUAAUUUUAAAGACAACCUUCAAUAUAUCAUAUUUUAAAGAAAUUUUAAAAUUUAUUAAUAAAUUAAAUGAUUUUUUUUUGUUUUAAUUAAUUAAUCAAAGAAAUAGAAUUGUAUGCGUCGUCUAAAUUUGGCAGCAAGAUUAAAAAAAAUACAAAAUCAUUUGCAAUUAACUGGGGUCAGAAUCAUCUAUUUUCCUAUAAUUUAUGUAGUUUCUCUGUUUAUCCAGAAAUUACUGAUUGAUCAAUUUUUUUUGGCCAGCAUAGACUAGCAGUUACCUCUUUAGAUUAGAGCCUAGACUACCGUACGUGAUCAGGGGCGUGAAAGUGAAAACAAGUCCACUGUAUUGCAUAAUUUACCUGGGCUGCAGCAUGGACUCGCUGUGGUGGGUGUAGGCCAACUGCGCGUUAUCUCCGAUCUGUAAGGAUACAGAGGAGGGGUUGGUGUCGACGAAGCGCUUCACCAGCGCAUCCGACGUUAUCUUUGGAGAUGGCGUCCGGCAUCCUGCCGCCACCAGCUCGUCCGGCGGAGAAACGAUGGCGCCGCUAAACACACCCAACAUCUCAAAUCCUCCUGGCGCUUGAAAAGAAAAGAAAAGAAGAAAAAAUCGAAGCGAAGUGAAAUAAUCUGACUCCGGCUUUAACUAAGAGAUUUCACAGAGCUGGAACAAAGUC
This 1303-nucleotide unclassified non-coding RNA is filed under the name Hevea brasiliensis (rubber tree). Lineage: Eukaryota; Viridiplantae; Streptophyta; Magnoliopsida; Malpighiales; Euphorbiaceae. The record is from RNAcentral.